GACGAACGCUGGUGGCGUGCUUAACACAUGCAAGUCGAACGGAAAGGCCCUGCUUUUGUGGGGUGCUCGAGUGGCGAACGGGUGAGUAACACGUGAGUAACCUGCCCUUGACUUUGGGAUAACUUCAGGAAACUGGGGCUAAUACCGGAUAGGAGCUCCUGCUGCAUGGUGGGGGUUGGAAAGUUUCGGCGGUUGGGGAUGGACUCGCGGCUUAUCAGCUUGUUGGUGGGGUAGUGGCUUACCAAGGCUUUGACGGGUAGCCGGCCUGAGAGGGUGACCGGCAACAUUGGGACUGAGAUACGGACCAGAAUCCAACGGGAGGCAGCAGUGGGGAAUAGUGCACAAUGGGGGGAAGCCUGAUGCAGCAACGCCGCGUGCGGGAUAACGGCCUUCGGGUUGUAAACCGCUUUCGCCUGUGACGAAGCGUGAGUGACGGUAAUGGGUAAAGAAGCACCGGCUAACUACGUG
RNAcentral lists this ribosomal RNA (468 nucleotides) under uncultured bacterium. RNAcentral's name for it is "partial 16S ribosomal RNA". It matches the Rfam family "Bacterial small subunit ribosomal RNA", at positions 28 to 507 of the family's 1533-position model. The record is from RNAcentral.